Molecule: ribosomal RNA, 137 nt
Filed under: uncultured bacterium
Lineage: Bacteria
Description: partial 16S ribosomal RNA
Rfam family: Bacterial small subunit ribosomal RNA
Source: RNAcentral
UGGGGAAUAUUGGUCAUUGGGGGAAACCCUGUAACCAGCAAUGCCGCGUGAAGGAAGAAGGCUCUCGGGUUGUAAACUUCUUUGACAGGGGACGAAAUAUGACGGUACCCUGAAAACAAGCCACGGCUAACUACGUG